Molecule: long non-coding RNA, 1014 nt
Filed under: Ursus thibetanus thibetanus
Lineage: Eukaryota; Metazoa; Chordata; Mammalia; Carnivora; Ursidae
Description: lncRNA (ENSUTTG00000018414.1)
Source: RNAcentral
GGAGCGCGAGCGUCUGGGGGAGGGAGAUACUCGUGAGCUCUGGUGGCGAAAUGACAUUUAGUAAUAGUUAAUCUUUACGACUGUCAAGUUUUACUAGGGCCUAUCUCUCGCCAUGGUGGCAAGGGUCCUCUGAAGGGGAAAAAAGGAAAGCGAAUGACGGGAGCCUUUUGCAAGCCCUCCCCUCCUGCCGGCGCGCGCAGCAUGGGCGGGGAACGUCCUUCUUGCGCCGGUUACGUCAUCGCGGCCUGCGACCGGGGCGGAGCGGGGCGGAGUCUCUAGAUCUAGGGCGAGCCUGCGCAGAGCGUGGGAAAGGCGUGCAGUGUGGCGUCUGACGUAUCUGUGGAGACAUCUUAACUUUCCCUCAGUGGGCAGGGAAGAAAGAACUGCAGGUUUGCUUGGCUCCCCGCCGGUUUUUCCGCCCCCGCUCGGCAGCGGUCUUCUUGUACUCGGCGAAGUGAAUUUCCCGGCGCGGUCCCUGCGGGUCCCUGAGGAGCAGCAGCACCUCAAAACCAGACACUGUGAAGUUAUGAGCAGAAUCUCAGAUGAGGAUUUCGUAAGAAAAGAGUUUGGUGUAAAUGGUCUGGAGAUGUCAGCUCUGCUAAAUGCUGCUGAAUUGCAAACUAGGCAAGUUAUUACUAAAUUGGGAAUUUCUUACCCCUAACAUCUUUUUUACUUGUCCUGUAGAUGUGUUCAAUUAAUACUAGAUAACUUAUGUGGAAUUAAACACAUAGUGCUUUGAAACAAUAAAAGUACUACAUACAUUUUUAUUUUUUUGUUAGAAUGAAUGAUUCCAUUGGCAUUCUUGUCAGUAAACUGAGUUGAGAGAAUUAGGGCUUAGUGAGACACUAUUUAGGGGAGUAGUAACAGGAUUAAGGAAGAGGUGUAUGGAAAAGAUCUUUAGAAUUCUUAAACUAUCCUCAGUCUCCAAAUCCUUGCAAUUGUAUAGGCAUCAUUUGGAGAGUGGAAUUAAAAAAAGCUUCCUAGUCUAUACAAAUUGAAUCUUGAAAAAUAUUU